Molecule: RNA transcript, 3091 nt
Organism: Tarenaya hassleriana
Lineage: Eukaryota; Viridiplantae; Streptophyta; Magnoliopsida; Brassicales; Cleomaceae
Gene name: UBP1-associated protein 2A-like
Exons: 3
Source: RefSeq, a predicted model, not a curated record
UCUGAAAGGAUCAAGGGUAAAUGUGUAGUUUACAUUCCGCACGUAGAUAGAUAAGAGCCGAAUCAACUUGAGAACCGGAUGAAUUGCAAGCCCUAGGUUCAAAGAUUCUCUCUCUCUUCGGGCUUUAACCCGCCAUUGCGUCAUGGCAAGGAAGAGGAAGCUCGGACCCAAAUCGACCGGAGCGUCGGAGCCGCCACAGAAGCAGCAGCAGCUGGAGGAGCUGCAAAGGAAGCAUGAGCAGUCAGAAAUUAGGGAUCGCGAGAAUCGGGGAGACGGCGAUGAAGAUGUUGAGUACGAGGAAGUAGAGGAAGAGCGCGAAGAGGAAGCCGAAGACGGAGAUGAUGAUUCCGAGGAAGAGGACGAAGAUGGCGGCGGAGGAAGUGGUAAUCAGAUGGCGGGUUAUCGUACGGAGGCGGUGACGUCGGGGUCUGGGAAUCAGGGAGGUGAAGAAGACGGCGAGCCGAUUCAGGAUCUCUUGGAACCGUUCAGUAAGGAUCAGUUGGUAAUUCUCCUCAAGGAUGCUGCCGAGAAGCACCCCGAUGUAGCGAAUCGUAUCCGGAAAGUGGCGGAUGCGGAUCCUGUUCACCGGAAGAUCUUUGUACAUGGUCUUGGAUGGGACACCAAAGCCGAUGCGCUUAUCGAAGCGUUCAAGCAGUAUGGAGAGAUCGAAGAUUGCAAGGUCGUUGCUGAUAAGAUCUCCGGGAAAUCAAAAGGGUAUGGGUUUAUUCUCUUCAAGUCACGCUCUGGUACUCGCAACGCGCUCAAGCAGCCCCAAAAGAAGAUCGGGAAUCGAAUGACGGCGUGUCAGCUGGCUUCCGUUGGACCUGUACAGGGCGACCCGGCCGCGGCCGCUGCUUCGGCGCCUGCUCAGCAUUCGUCCUCGGAAUACACGCAGAGGAAGAUUUAUGUCAGUAACGUAGGGGCAGAGCUCGAUCCCCAGAAGUUGAUGGCAUUUUUCUCCAGGUACGGAGAGAUUGAAGAAGGUCCGUUGGGGCUUGAUAAAGUAACCGGGAGACCAAAAGGGUUCUGCUUGUUUGUCUACAAGUCCCCCAAAGGCGCCAAGAAGGCUCUGGAGGAGCCUCACAAGAACUUCGAAGGCCAUGUAUUGCAUUGCCAGAAAGCAAUUGACGGUCCAAAACAGGGGAAACAGCAUCACCAUAACUCCCACAAUCACAAUGCUCGUUACCAAAGGAAUGACAACAGUGGUUACAAUGCAGGUGGAGGUCAUGGGCAUCUCACGGCUGGUAACCAUAACCAGGCUGGUAUGGCUGCUGCAUCGGCACUAAACCCGACUCUCGGUCAGGCCCUCACGGCUUUGCUCGCAACUCAGGGUGCUGGAUAUGGACUGAAUCCGGCAAUUGGACAGGCUUUGUUGGGGUCUCUUGGGGCAGCUGCAGGCGUGAACCCUGCAGCUGCAGCUGGAAUGCCUUCUGCUUAUGGCACUCAAGCAAAUAUUUCACCAGGUGUCAUCCCAGGUUACGGUGUUCAGGCUGGUUUGCAAGGCGGUGGCUAUCCAAACCAACAGCCUGGGCAGGGCAGUACUGGAAGAGGGCAGCACGGUGUGGGGCAAUAUGGUGCUCCUUACAUGGGUCACUAGAUGUACCCGCUCAGGUAUAUUGAUGCAGCCUCUUCUUGUUUCAGUUUACGUGGACAUGGAUUGAAUGCAUGAUGACCCUGGUAUGGUAAUCUCCUAUCCUGUUGUGACCAUAAUAGUUCAACAGUCCUUUCCGUUGCCAAUUUUUAUGUGCAUUGAUUCUCAUCUGAUGCUUUUUCAAUGUGUAGUAACUUGUUUUUGUCUUUCGCAUUUCUAACCUUCUCUUUGUUUGACUGAUUUAUAAAGGAUUUUGUAUUUGCACCAUUUUGUAGUGCGAAAAUCUUCUCUUAUUUUCUUAAUUCGUUGUGCAGAUAUCACAAAACAGUGUUUUAGUAUUGGCCUGGUGAUUCUUCUGAAGUUUAUAUGGAGCUGAUGCAAAGAAGUCUUUAUAUUUUGGAUGAAACGUUACUAUUUGGUCACUCCAAAGCCAGACUCUUAAAACCACUUAAGAAGUUUUAGUUUUUUCUCGACCUGUUUUCCUCGACCCUCUUUGUGAUAUUACAAAAACAUUGUACUAUUUUCGGAGUUAAUGUUUCGUUUUAAAUCUUUUUGAACUAUCAUGUGUAAAAAGUGCUCCCUGUGGGCAUACAAAUGCUUUCUUUAUGGUGUUAUGUUUUAUCAGUUUGUAAUUUUCCAUUGGUUUCUCCGAUUUGACCAUUUCAAGUUUUUCUAUGCCUUCAUUGUUGAAUGUGGUGGAACUCAACUCGACCAUUCAAGAUCUCUGUGCCCAUAUUUUUUGUUACUUGCACGGGUUUUUUUUAUAUUUGUCAGAUUAUUAUCAGACUAUAGUUAAAUGUAUAUUAUGCAGGUCUCUCUGUGUAUUAUCCUCCUGAUUUCCAGAGUCUAUGAUUGCUUAACCGUGAUUCCUCUUGCAGGCAGCUGUGAUGAGUGCAGGUUGAAACAGCUUAUGGUAUUUGCACUUGCAGUUACAAACUAACACAACUGAAAACUCUUUAGGAAAUCUAUACUAGUGUCUAGUCCUCUGUUUGAAUAUUAGAAUGCUCUUACUCCAAAGUUUUGAAUCUUCUUUUAUUGACAAAUGCACUAUCUCAAACUUUGAAUUAGUGGUCUACAAAGCUGAAACUUGGUUUCAAGGUGCUGUAUAGCAAUUGGCAGGGAAGCUCGAGAUUGUCCUUUGAAUGAAAGUGAUGAUUCAGGGAUCUCAGAAGGCUAUAAACAGAGGGAGACAAUGGCGUGCGGCAAACAUUGGCUUCCCUCUUGCAAAGUAACCAGCUUAAUCGGUCGGUAGGAUAUUCGUUUCGAAUAUUAAGGUUUGGAGUGAGAACUGAGAACAUUUGACACGUGGGAAACCGCACGCUCGAACCCAGAUGCACCCCAUUUUCCAUUUCCCCACCACCAGACAAUCCCCACGUGGUCCCUAUUUGGGUUUGUCUCUCUUUUUUCCUUUUCUUCUUGUUUUUAUAUUUUCGUUUUUUCCCCACUUCUUGGUUACAGUUUGUGUUGAAUCAAUUUCCAAAAGGGGGUUUCGACUGUUAA